UACGUAGGGUGCUAGCGUUGUCCGGAUUUAUUGGGCGUAAAGGGCUCGUAGGCGGCGUGUCGCGUCGGGGAGUGAAAGCCCCGCUGCUUAACGGCGGGUUGGCUUCCGGUACGGGCAUCGCUGGAGUGCGGCAGGGGAGACUGGAAUUCCUGGUGUAGCGGUGGAAUGCGCCAGAUAUCAGGAGGAACACCGGUGGCGAAAAGCGGGGUCUCUGGGCCGUUACUGACGCUGUGGCGCGAAAGCUAGGGGAGCAAACGGG
Molecule: ribosomal RNA, 259 nt
Filed under: uncultured bacterium
Lineage: Bacteria
Description: partial 16S ribosomal RNA
Rfam family: Bacterial small subunit ribosomal RNA
Source: RNAcentral